CUAAAAGCCACCAUUCAUCAGCGAUUAUUGGACGAUUCUGAGCCGAUCAGACAAGGUGGACGACUCAAUGUUGGAAUUUGAAUACGUUCCCUGUAAGGCUGCAUGGCAAUCAUGACAAUAGCUAAUCUCCAUGUGACCACCAUCGCAAACACAAAUGCCAAGGAAGCACUUACGGAAACUUGAAUCAGUAACGACAUGCGAUCGGCAAUUAGAGAUCUGACCAAGUUGGCUUCAGUCACUAGCCGGGCACAGAUGGCUGCACUUGUAUUCUGAUCUUGAUCAAACCAUGCAAUCUCAAAGAUUGUGCAUCCAAAGCACUUGUGGCUUCAUCAAGGAGAAGGAUCUUUGGAUCUCGAAUUAAAGCCCUUGCUAUGGCGAUCCUUUGCUUCUGUCCUCCUGAUAACUGAAGUCCGAAUUGCCCAACCUGAGGUACAAAUGAAUACUCACCAUGUCAGUUCUAGUAAUGAUCAUAAAUUGAUUUCAAACUAAAGAUCGAAAAAUUAUGGCUUACUUGUGUAUUGUAUCCAUCAGGUAAAUUAACGAUGAAGUCAUGGGCGUUUGCAGCUUUAGCUGCAUUUAUGAUAAGUUCCAUAGAAAAAUAUCUCCUCUAACAGGGUCAUAAAAUCUUUGAAGUAAAGAUAUGAUUGUGGAUUUUCCAGAACCACUGCCUCCUACAAGACCAACCGUCUUGCCAGCUUCAAUCUGAAGACUUAAUCCUUGAAGAACUGGGUUAUCAGGCCUUGAUGGCAUCUAUAACUGGAAUUCGGUCGAUCAUCUCAAACAUCUUGGUUGCGGCACAUGUUGCCUCUGAGAUGAAAGAAAGAUUUGGAAGCGCACUCAUAAUAGAGCUGAAAAUACCACCAUGAAGACAUUAGUGGCGCUAGAUAUGAUGUAGAGCCGUAGAGGCCCGGCGUAUAGGUUAAGCUUGUUGAAAUAUUGGUACUCAAAGAAGAAUGCUCUUGCAUUCGACAAAAACUGUACUCCCAAAUAUAAAAAAAUUUGUUGUGAAAGACUUGAUAGAUAUCCUAUAAGAUUAUUUCCAACUACAUUAAACUAAA
Long non-coding RNA from Tripterygium wilfordii, 1058 nucleotides. RefSeq lists it as uncharacterized. The record is from RefSeq and is a predicted model, not a curated record. The transcript has 5 exons. NCBI's taxonomy places the organism in Eukaryota, Viridiplantae, Streptophyta, Magnoliopsida, Celastrales, Celastraceae.